Molecule: ribosomal RNA, 490 nt
Filed under: uncultured bacterium
Lineage: Bacteria
Description: partial 16S ribosomal RNA
Rfam family: Bacterial small subunit ribosomal RNA
Source: RNAcentral
AUUGAACGCUGGCGGCAUGCCUUACACAUGCAAGUCGAACGGCAGCAUGAUCUCGCUUGCUAGAUUGAUGGCGAGUGGCGAACGGGUGAGUAAUACAUCGGAACGUGCCCUGUAGUGGGGGAUAACUAGUCGAAAGAUUAGCUAAUACCGCAUACGACCUGAGGGUGAAAGUGGGGGACCGCAAGGCCUCAUGCUAUAGGAGCGGCCGAUGUCUGAUUAGCUAGUUGGUGAGGUAAAGGCUCACCAAGGCGACGAUCAGUAGCUGGUCUGAGAGGACGAUCAGCCACACUGGGACUGAGACACGGCCCAGACUCCUACGGGAGGCAGCAGUGGGGAAUUUUGGACAAUGGGCGAAAGCCUGAUCCAGCAAUGCCGCGUGUGUGAAGAAGGCCUUCGGGUUGUAAAGCACUUUUGUCCGGAAAGAAAUGGCUCUGGUUAAUACCUGGGGUAGAUGGCGGUACCGGAAGAAUAAGGACCGGCUAACUACGUG